GACGAACGCUGGCGGCGUGCUUAACACAUGCAAGUCGAACGGUGAAGGGCCUGGUUUUGCUGGUCCUGGAUGGGUGGCGAACGGGUGAGUAACACGUGAGUAACCUGCCCCCUUCUCCUGGAUAACAGCAUGCAAGUGUGGCUAAUACGGGAUAUCCUGUGUCUGUCGCAUGGUGGGCCUGGGAAAGAUUGCGCCUUUUUUGGUGUUCUUGGUGGGGGAUGGGUGCGCGGCCUAUCAGCUUGUUGGUGGGGUGAUGGCCUACCAAGGCGGUGUCGGGUAGCCAGCCUGAGAGGGUGAACGGGCAUGCGGGGGCUGAGAGACGGACUGGACUCGUGAGGGAGGCAGCAGUGGGGAGGAAUGCAGAAGGGGCGAAAGCCUGAUGCAGCGAGGCCGCGUGAGGGAUGGAGGCCGUCUGGGUGUGAACGGCUUUCGGCAGGGAAGCAGGCCUGGCUCGUUUUGUGGGUGGGUUGAUGGUAGCUGGAUAAGAAGCACCGGCUAACUACGUG
Molecule: ribosomal RNA, 506 nt
Filed under: uncultured bacterium
Lineage: Bacteria
Description: partial 16S ribosomal RNA
Rfam family: Bacterial small subunit ribosomal RNA
Source: RNAcentral